RNAcentral lists this ribosomal RNA (818 nucleotides) under Nostoc sp. 'Nephroma laevigatum cyanobiont' 51_Mayrhofer_&_Prugger_11583. RNAcentral describes it as "bacterial SSU rRNA". It matches the Rfam family "Bacterial small subunit ribosomal RNA", at positions 64 to 923 of the family's 1533-position model. The record is from RNAcentral. Lineage: Bacteria; Bacillati; Cyanobacteriota; Cyanophyceae; Nostocales; Nostocaceae.
GAACGGUGUCUUCGGACACAGUGGCGGACGGGUGAGUAACGCGUGAGAAUCUGCCAUCAGGUCUGGGACAACCACUGGAAACGGUGGCUAAUACCGGAUGUGCCCUUCGGGGUGAAAGGUUAACUGCCUGUUGAUGAGCUCGCGUCUGAUUAGCUAGUUGGUGUGGUAAGAGCGCACCAAGGCGACGAUCAGUAGCUGGUCUGAGAGGACGAUCAGCCACACUGGGACUGAGACACGGCCCAGACUCCUACGGGAGGCAGCAGUGGGGAAUUUUCCGCAAUGGGCGAAAGCCUGACGGAGCAAUACCGCGUGAGGGAGGAAGGCUCUUGGGUCGUAAACCUCUUUUCUCAGGGAAGAACACAAUGACGGUACCUGAGGAAUAAGCAUCGGCUAACUCCGUGCCAGCAGCCGCGGUAAUACGGAGGAUGCAAGCGUUAUCCGGAAUGAUUGGGCGUAAAGCGUCCGCAGGUGGCUAUGUAAGUCUGCUGUUAAAGAGUCUAGCUCAACUAGAUAAGAGCAGUGGAAACUACAAGGCUAGAGUGCGUUCGGGGCAGAGGGAAUUCCUGGUGUAGCGGUGAAAUGCGUAGAGAUCAGGAAGAACACCAGUGGCGAAGGCGCUCUGCUAGGCCGCAACUGACACUGAGGGACGAAAGCUAGGGGAGCGAAUGGGAUUAGAUACCCCAGUAGUCCUAGCCGUAAACGAUGGAUACUAGGCGUGGCUUGUAUCGACCCGAGCCGUGCCGUAGCUAACGCGUUAAGUAUCCCGCCUGGGGAGUACGCCGGCAACGGUGAAACUCAAAGGAAUUGACGGGGGCCCG